AGCUGAGUUCAAAGAUCCCUUCGGGGUGAUUUGUUGGACGCUAGCGGCGGAUGGGUGAGUAACACGUGGGCAAUCUGCCCUAAAGACUGGGAUACCACUUGGAAACAGGUGCUAAUACCGGAUAACAACAUGAAUCGCAUGAUUCAAGUUUGAAAGGCGGCGUAAGCUGUCACUUUAGGAUGAGCCCGCGGCGCAUUAGCUAGUUGGUGGGGUAAAGGCCUACCAAGGAUUGUGAUGCGUAGCCGAGUUGAGAGACUGAUCGGCCACAUUGGGACUGAGACACGG
This 285-nucleotide ribosomal RNA is filed under the name Lactobacillus delbrueckii subsp. bulgaricus. RNAcentral's name for it is "partial 16S ribosomal RNA". It matches the Rfam family "Bacterial small subunit ribosomal RNA", at positions 60 to 329 of the family's 1533-position model. Lineage: Bacteria; Bacillati; Bacillota; Bacilli; Lactobacillales; Lactobacillaceae. The record is from RNAcentral.